UNGUUUCAAAAGCUUUGACACUGGCCAAAUGU
Molecule: non-coding RNA, 32 nt
Filed under: Mus musculus (house mouse)
Lineage: Eukaryota; Metazoa; Chordata; Mammalia; Rodentia; Muridae
Source: RNAcentral